ACGCCUGUAGCUCAAUUGGUAGAGCGGCGGUCUCCAAAAUCGCAGGCUGGGGGUUCAAGUCCCUCCGGGCGUGCCA
This 76-nucleotide transfer RNA is filed under the name Marinitoga okinawensis. Its description in RNAcentral is "tRNA-Trp". It matches the Rfam family "tRNA". Rfam says of the family: Transfer RNA (tRNA) molecules are approximately 80 nucleotides in length. Lineage: Bacteria; Thermotogati; Thermotogota; Thermotogae; Petrotogales; Petrotogaceae. The record is from RNAcentral. RNAcentral also lists the same sequence under 13 other names.